GAUGAACGCUGGCGGCGUGCCUAAUACAUGCAAGUCGAGCGAGAAGCUUGGAAAUGACGCUUCGGUUGAUUUUCCAAGCGGACAGCGGCGGACGGGUGAGUAACGCGUAGGCAACCUGCCCCUGACAGAGGGAUAGCCAUUGGAAACGAUGAUUAAAACCUCAUGACACCGUAGUAGCACAUGCUACAUCGGUCAAAGAUUUAUCGGUCAGGGAUGGGCCUGCGUCUGAUUAACUGGUUGGUGAGGUAACGGCUCACCAAGGUGACGAUCAGUAGCCGACCUGAGAGGGUGAUCGGCCACAUUGGAACUGAGACACGGUCCAAACUUCUACGGAAGGCAGCAGUAGGGAAUCUUGCACAAUGGGCGAAAGCCUGAUGCAGCAACGCCGCGUGAAGGAUGAAGCCUUCGGGUUGUAAACUUCUGUUCUAGGGGAAGAAAGAAAUGACGGUACCUAG
Molecule: ribosomal RNA, 455 nt
Filed under: Mogibacterium timidum
Lineage: Bacteria; Bacillati; Bacillota; Clostridia; Peptostreptococcales; Anaerovoracaceae
Description: bacterial SSU rRNA
Rfam family: Bacterial small subunit ribosomal RNA
Source: RNAcentral